This 491-nucleotide ribosomal RNA is filed under the name uncultured bacterium. Its description in RNAcentral is "partial 16S ribosomal RNA". It matches the Rfam family "Bacterial small subunit ribosomal RNA", at positions 29 to 506 of the family's 1533-position model. The record is from RNAcentral.
AGUGAACGCUGGCGGUAGGCCUAACACAUGCAAGUCGAACGGCAGCACAGUAAGAGCUUGCUCUUACGGGUGGCGAGUGGCGGACGGGUGAGGAAUACAUCGGAAUCUACUUUUUCGUGGGGGAUAACGUAGGGAAACUUACGCUAAUACCGCAUACGACCUACGGGUGAAAGCAGGGGAUCUUCGGACCUUGCGCGAUUGAAUGAGCCGAUGUCGGAUUAGCUAGUUGGCGGGGUAAAGGCCCACCAAGGCAACGAUCCGUAGCUGGUCUGAGAGGAUGAUCAGCCACCCUGGAACUGGGACACGGUCCAGACUCCUACGGGAGGCAGCAGUGGGGAAUAUUGGACAAUGGGCGCAAGCCUGAUCCAGCCAUACCGCGUGGGUGAAGAAGGCCUUCGGGUUGUAAAGCCCUUUUGUUGGGAAAGAAAAGCAGCAGGUUAAUACCCCGCUGUUCUGACGGUACCCAAAGAAUAAGCACCGGCUAACUUCGU